CCAAACUUGGUCAUUUAGAGGAAGUAAAAGUCGUAACAAGGUUUCCGUAGGUGAACCUGCGGAAGGAUCAUUAUCGAAAUCUAAAGAAGGGGGGAAGCAAGUUGGAACGAAGUAAAUUUGAAGUAGAAUCCUCUUGAGAGAUUGUAGCUGGCCUUGGAGACGAGGCAAUGUGCACGUCUUGAGGAUAUGUGCUUCCUAGUCUUUGUUUUGACUCUAUCUCUCUUCGACAACAAAUUUUACACCUGUGCACUUUUUGUAGGUCCUAACGGAUCUAUGUUUUUCAUCUACACCCAAACGUAUGUCUAUAGAAUGUCUUUUUGCAGUGUCGUUCGACCUGUGCUUUGAUUAGCCUUGUUGUUCGACCGCAAUGAAAUCAAUUAUAACUUUCAGCAACGGAUCUCUUGGCUCUCGCAUCGAUGAAGAACGCAGC
Molecule: unclassified non-coding RNA, 430 nt
Filed under: uncultured fungus
Lineage: Eukaryota; Fungi
Description: partial contains small subunit ribosomal RNA, internal transcribed spacer 1, and 5.8S ribosomal RNA
Rfam family: Eukaryotic small subunit ribosomal RNA (bases 1-73)
Source: RNAcentral